AGGGCACCACCAGGAGUGGAGCCUGCGGCUUAAUUUGACUCAACACGGGAAAACUCACCCGGCCCGGACACUGGAAGGAUUGACAGAUUGAGAGCUCUUUCUUGAUUCAGUGGGCGGUGGUGCAUGGCCGUUCUUAGUUGGUGGAGUGAUUUGUCUGGUUAAUUCCGAUAACGAACGAGACUCUAGCCUACUAAAUAGAUCGUCGGCUUACAAACGCCGGCGAGACUUCUUAGAGGGACAGGCGGUGAUUCAACCGCACGAAACAGAGCAAUAACAGGUCUGUGAUGCCCUUAGAUGUCCGGGGCCGCACGCGCGCUACACUGAAGUGAUCAGCGUGCUUUUUCAACCUACUCUGUCAAGAGUGGGGAACCCAAUGAACCUUCUUCGUGAUUGGGAUAGGGGAUUGUAAUUAUUCCCCUUGAACGAGGAAUUCCCAGUAAGCGCGAGUCAUAAGCUCGCGUUGAUUACGUCCCUGCCCUUUGUACACACCGCCCGUCGCUACUACCGGUUGAAUGUUUU
RNAcentral lists this ribosomal RNA (519 nucleotides) under uncultured eukaryote. Its description in RNAcentral is "SSU rRNA". It matches the Rfam family "Eukaryotic small subunit ribosomal RNA", at positions 1161 to 1699 of the family's 1831-position model. The record is from RNAcentral.